This 157-nucleotide ribosomal RNA is filed under the name uncultured Sphingomonadaceae bacterium. RNAcentral's name for it is "partial 16S ribosomal RNA". It matches the Rfam family "Bacterial small subunit ribosomal RNA", at positions 343 to 517 of the family's 1533-position model. Lineage: Bacteria; Pseudomonadati; Pseudomonadota; Alphaproteobacteria; Sphingomonadales; Sphingomonadaceae. The record is from RNAcentral.
GGGAGGCAGCAGUGGGGAAUAUUGGACAAUCGGCGAAAGCGGGAUCCAGCAAUGCCGCGUGAGUGAAGAAGGCCUUAGGGUUGUAAAGCUCUUUUGCCAGGGAUGAUAAUGACAGUACCUGGAGAAUAAGCUCCGGCUAACUCCGUGCCAGCAGCCG